GAGGAGGAGGGGAAAGGGAGGAGGGAGAAGGAAGGAGGGAGGGGCUCCGGGCCCGACCUCCAACCCUUUUGUGAACCACCUCGUUGCUUCGGGGGCGACCCUGCCGUUCGCGGCGUGGGGCCCCCGGAGCCCAUCAAACCCUGCGUAACUAAGUCGUCGGAGUUUAAACAAAUAAAACAAAACUUUCAACAACGGAUCUCUUGGUUCGGGCAUCGAUGAAGAACGCAGC
RNAcentral lists this unclassified non-coding RNA (229 nucleotides) under uncultured fungus. RNAcentral's name for it is "sequence contains ITS1, 5.8S rRNA gene". The stretch from base 181 to 229 matches the Rfam family "5.8S ribosomal RNA", at positions 1 to 49 of the family's 154-position model. Lineage: Eukaryota; Fungi. The record is from RNAcentral.